GUGGGGAAUCUUAGACAAUGGGGGCAACCCUGAUCUAGCCAUGCCGCGUGAGUGAUGAAGGCCUUAGGGUCGUAAAGCUCUUUCGCUGGGGAAGAUAAUGACGGUACCCAGUAAAGAAACCCCGGCUAACUCCGUGCCAGCAGCCGCGGUAAUACGGAGGGGGUUAGCGUUGUUCGGAAUUACUGGGCGUAAAGCGCGCGUAGGCGGAUUGGAAAGUUGGGGGUGAAAUCCCGGGGCUCAACCCUGAAAUGGCCUUCAAAACUCCCAGUCUUGAGGUCGAGAGAGUUGAGUGGAAUUCCGAGUGUAGAGUUGAAAAUCGUAGAUAGUCGGAAGAACACCAGUGUCGAAGCCGGCUCACUGGCUCGAUACUGACGCUGAGGUGCGAAAGCGUGGGGAGCAAACAGGAUUAGAAACCCUAGUAGUCC
RNAcentral lists this ribosomal RNA (425 nucleotides) under uncultured bacterium. RNAcentral describes it as "partial 16S ribosomal RNA". It matches the Rfam family "Bacterial small subunit ribosomal RNA", at positions 354 to 796 of the family's 1533-position model. The record is from RNAcentral.